GGGUGGGGAGAAAGGGCUGGAAAAUUGGGGGCCCUGGAAGUCCAGGGAGGAGAGAGCUUCCAGAGGUCAGCAUGACCAUUAAUGUGCCAAAGGCACAGAAGUCAGAGGAGGUGAGAGUGUCCCUGGUCUUUGGGGACCCCGGCCAUAGCAGCUUUGGGGUAGGGGGCAAAACCCAACUGGGUGGGGGUGAUCUAGAGACUGGCUGAGAAAGCAGGAGGGGAAAGGGAGACCCGAGGGGACAGAAGUUUCUAGAAGGUACUGUCUCAUACACAUUGACAUUUGGUGGGAGGAGGGCUAUGCGAGGACACAAGAGCAGGGACAGGUAAUGAAGGGGGCCCCUGGAGCAGUGGGAUUAAGUGUAUAGGUGAAGGGAUUAGUUGUGUUGGUGGAAAGGGGCAAAAUUAAAUCAUGUACAUUUUACCAAGUAACCUGAUCCCUGUGUUUUUCUGAAGGUUGUUUUUCUGCCGAGGACUGACUGCAGCUCUAAUUAGCAGUAGUUUCAUCCUGCCUCGUGUUUGGGGCUGUGUCUUAUUCAUUUUUGUACCUUUCGGUACCUAGCAACAGGCAGCGAGCUAGGUAAAGACAGAAUAAUUAUUUCCUGCUUGAAAUCAAAUGUCUGAAAUGGAGGUUCAGAAUUUUUUUUUUUUUAAACCACAAAGAUUCUGUGACUAUUCCCAAGGAAUCAACAAACAGGGAAAUGAAAGUCAAAGUUGAAGCUGUCUGUGAGGCUGUCUGGGUCUCAGGAAAUGCACUCUGCAUUCUGGUGUGGGUACUGCUCUUCAUAGUUUUUAAUGGUGAGGUUGUGAUUGUUGUCUCAUCUGGUCAUUGCAAAUCCACCCUCCUGUCCUUCCUGAGGCAGACAGAGACUGCUAGCCCCAUUUUACAGAGUAGGAAACUGAGACCUAGAGCGGCAGGAUAGAAGGAAAGAAUCAUGAGCAAUGAAGUCGGUGGGGAUAGGUCUUGAAUACUGCAUUCAGGGCUUCACACCACUCCUGGUAUAAUCUAGCACGUGUGCUCAGGCACUGUGAUGUCUGACUCUUUGUGACCCCAUGGGCUGUAGCCCGCCAGGCUCCUCUGUCCAGGGAUUUUCCAGACAAGAAUACUGGCAUGGGUUACCAUGCCCUUCUCCAGGGGAGCUUCCUGACCCAGGGAUCGAACCCGUGUCUCCUGCAUUAGCAGGUGGAUUCUUUACCACUGAGCCACCUGGGAAGCCCAGUAUCUCCUAGACAUUGAGUAAUUCGAACUAUUUCUUCCAAAGUCAAGAAGGAGCCUUGGUCUAACUGGUUGCACUUGGGCCUCAUGCCAUCGCCUGAUAAGAGCUGGGUGGCAAGAGGCGGGGCCUGAAGGAGGGGCCUCUGUGGGUUCUGUGUGAGAGAGCAUCCCAUGUCGCACCACAGCCAUGUAAAAUGGAGAACGGGAAAUCUCCCUGAAUGUAACAAGGGCUGUUAGGGGGCAAUAAAGAAUGCUGGAAAGCCCGACAUCCCCACCCUCGCCCCCAGACAUCUACUAAGAAGGAACCAGACAGAGGCAGGCAGACUUGUUUAGGAGGCCGUUGUCCAGAUAAGAGUGAGAGAAGUCUGAACUCAACCAGUGGAGAGGGAGUAAGUAGAUCCAGAACUUAGAGGAGAUUAAAAACCAGAAAUGAUGAUUGGCUUUUAGGAGGAGAGAGAGAGUGAAGACAAAGACUCCUGUGUGUCUUGGGUAGACAGUGGGGAGGCCCCUGGGAAGAUGGGGAGUGAGUUUGAGGGGCAAGACAGUGGUCUCAGAUACAGCCAAGGGGUCAGGAUCAUAGUCAGGUGGAGCCCAGCAGGCACUUGAGUCAAGGGUCAGGGGCUCAGAAAAAAAUUCUGCUGGGAGUACUGGCCUAAGGCCAUGGCCACUCCAGUAACAGGAACCCUGAGAAUGAGUAAGAUCACCAGAGAAAGAGAAUGGGACAGGGCCCAGGGCAGAAUCCUACGUUACAGUGACACUUGAAGUACCAAUCAAGGUGUGGGUAGGUGACAAAGGAGAAAGAGAAGGAAAGGCUUGAGACAUGCAACAACCAACCAGGAGAGUGGGUUGCCAUGGAAACCAAGGUAGUGAAGGGUUUCAAGGAGAAAGUAAUCAACACUGUCAAAUGCAGCAGAGAAUUCCAGAAAGAUAAAGACAGACCCCCACCCCCACCCCCGCCUUUGGAUCUGACGAUUAGUAAGCUUUGGAUGCCCUCAAUAAGAGCAUUUUGGGGGAGUGAUGGGGCAAAACUUGAAUAAUGUUGAGAUGUGAGGGGGAGGUGAAUUCGUCACCGAGAGUUCUUUGAGGAGUCCGGAAGGAAGACUUGGAGACGUGAAGGAUGAGAGUGGGGAGGUUGAGCAAAGGGAAGACAGGAGCAAGUUCAUAGGCUGAUAUCCACUCCCAGAUGCGAUAAGUGUUGUUUAGUGACAAAGUUGAUUCAUUCCACAUAUUCUAGUUUACCACCUGUUUGUGCCUGGCAGUGUGCCCAGCAUUGUGGAUUCUGUUGUGAAUGAAUUGAAAUAGGCAGAUUUCUGUUCUCGUGGCAUUUAUAUGAUAGUAGGGGAGAAAGAUGUGAAUCACGUAAUCACACACAUAAAUGUGUAAUUUCCAACGUUGACAGAACACACUCUGAAAGAAAGGUAGCAAGUGCUGGAGGAUGUACAAGGGCCCCUGCCCCAGGCCAACUCCAGAGGCUUCCCUGCAGCGGCGACACUUGAACCAAGCUGUUAAGGGGACAGAGUUCAUGGGACUGAACAGAUUCGAGAAGAACCUUCUGGCCAGAGGGACCCACCCACCUGUGCACAGGGAGGCGCACUGAGGCCAGAGAGGCAGGCAGGGCUGGGGGGGCAGAGCUCUGGAGGCCAGGGCUGAGCUCCUGUGUACCUCCCGAGAGUGAGGGAAGCGUGUUCAAGACCUGCCUGAAUAUUUCCUGUGCUCUGAGACUGGCUGGUCCCUGGAGAAGUCAUUAGAGGAAGCACAGGUGGACUUAGGGAGACAAGUUGGGAAGUUUCUGUUGUCAUGGUGGACAGGAUUUGGACAACACAUUCUGGUCGGUCUUGGUGCUGGAUGGAAGGAAGAUGAGUAAGGAGGGGAGGAGGUGUUCCAGAUGACCCCUGAGUUUAGGGCUUGCCUUACUGGUGGUGUGGCAGUGCUUUCCUCAGAACUGGGGAGCCCUACAAAGAAACGAGGUCUGUGAGGCAGACCCCCAAGUCUGGUGGUAGACAGCUGAGACAUGCAAGCCAGGAGCUGGGGAGGAAGUGGUUGACUGCGUGGACCUGGAACCCAGAGUGAGAAAUCACAGAGACCGUUUCAGUACUCCUGCGGGAUCCUGAGUGAAAAUGUGAACUGAAGUGGUAUCAGGUUUCUGGAGCAUUCUGAGGGGAUGAGGGAGGCUGAGGAAGAAGAGGCCAAGCAUCAACAUUUGGGGGCCUGUAAAAAGAAAGAUCCUCUUGGGGCACAGAAAAGAAAGGGCGAGAGAGGUCUUUCAACAGAAAGAUGGAGUGGUCAGCAGUGGUUAUGUGCAGAAAGGUCAGAGGUCAAGGGCAAAUCCAGGAGCUCUUCUGAGGUGCAACUGCCCAAUCGCCAUGGCACCCCUGGAAUUGGGCAGUGUAGUGUCCCUCCCGAUUGGUACCCCCCCCAGGGCCCAUGGGAGACCUCAGGGGACCGUAGCAGAGGCAGCCUGCAUAGGGCGUGAUUAAGGAGAGAAGUGAGGGAGCAAAGUCUAAGGCCUUUAAAUGAAAUUUUAGUCUUCAAGGAAAGAGCAAUACUGGCAUACAGAUAUUCUGAGGGAAGGGAGCCUGAGUAAUGGAGUGAUUAAGGAUGGAGACAAUUAGUGAAAUGAGUUCCCACAGGGGUUAGGUUCAAGUGUGGUGGUGGAUAAAUUAGUUUGGGGCAAUAAUGUAUAUUUGACUGAAUGGGGCAAAAUUUAAUUAUUUACCUUUUAGACAGUAUCUUGAUCUCCAUGUUCUUUUGGGAGCUUUUAUCUGAUCUGUGUACCAAAUACAGCUCUAAUUAGCACCACUUUUAUCCUGUCUCAGGGCUGGGAUCAUGUCUUAUUAUUUUUUGUGUUUCUCAGCACCUAGCAACAGGCAGUAAGGUCUUUGGGUGCUGAAUCAAUAUUAUCUGCCUUGGAAUGAAAAAUCUGAAGUCAACAUUCAAACUUUUUGACCAAAAAGAAUCUGUGAUAAUUCUCCAGAAGUACAGUGUGGGAAAGAAUUGGUGUAAAGUCCUGGUGGCAGGAGUAUGGGGUGGUGGGGGGUGGAGAGAGAGUACAAGAGUCAGCUGUCUUCAUCCUUAUACGUUCUGUCCCAUUUAUGCCUUUCACAUUCAUCCUCUCAUAUGAACUUCACCUCCCCCGGAAGAAGGAGAGCAUCACCUCCCAUCAUAGAGGAGGGAGCAGAAGGCAGAGGAGGGGAACUUCCUCUAGUGGUCCAGUGGCGAAGAAUCCACCUCCCAGUGCAGGGGAUGUGGGUUCAACACCUCAGGGGAACUAAGAUCCCACAUGCCUCGGGGCAACUAAGCUCACACACCGCAAUGAAGACCUAGCAUAGUGCCCCCCCCCCAAAAAAAAAAAACAGAAGGAAGUGCCUUGCUGACAUCGAGCACAAGUAACAGGAGCUGGAUUCAACCUCAGUCCGUCGAAAUCACAGUCCUUCUUUCCAGGAUCAGGUUGAGCUGAGAGAAAGAGGAAGAGGAAUCUGUGAGGUCCAGGUGGACGCCCCACCUGGACAUGUGCGGAAGGUUGGAGGCACGCUCCGACAGGAGACCGGAUAUUAAAGCAUCAUAUCAAACUUCGGUGAUAACAUCUGCAAUGCUAGCACCAGAGCAGAUAGCUCAUCCGUCUUAAGAAGCCUCUCUACCUCGUGAAUGAUAUACACAUUUUAUAUUUACACUGAAGACUUCUGUAUUUUUUUCAAUAUUUGUCUUUAGACCCAUCUUAAAUGUAUUUUCACGUUUAGUGUGACACAGAGAUCUAAUUUGAUCUUUUUCUGAACGGAUAACCAGGUGGCUAAGCACCAUUUAUUGUUCCAGCACUAUCUUUUCUCCCAGUUCCCUUGUCUACACUCUGUUCAAGUCUGUUGAUCUGUUUGUCUACUUCUGGGCCAACACCAGAUUUUAAUAAGCAAAAGCUUUAUCUUCCUACCCGAUCAGGUAAGUGCCCCUCCCUUCCUGGCCCUUUAUUCUUUUAAAAGUAUGUUGGUUGUAUUGUACAUUUACUUUUUCACACAUACACUUUAGAAUCAGCUUGUCGAAGUUCCAUGAAAAUCCUGUGGGAAUUUUGAGAGGGAUUUCACUGAAGGGAGAAAUGACAUCUUUGGGAUACCCGUUCUUCCCAUCCAUGAACUGGUAUCUGUCUCCAUUUAAUCAAAGUCUUAUUUGUUUGGUUUGAUUUUUAAUGCCUUUUAAUAAAGGUUGGUCGAUGUUGUCGUAAAGGUUUUUCACAUUUCUUAUUAGGUUUAUUCCUGAGUACCUUAUCAGUUGUGUUCUUUUUGUGAAUGUAAAAGGCUUUUCUUUUUUUCUUUUUGCUUUCCAAAUUUUAAUCAAUUUACUAAUCAUGAUGCUUCAUUCACUGACACACUCUCGGAGUAAAUGUGCUUUGUCCCUGGGUACACAAAUGAGAACACAGCACACAUAUAAAGUAGAACUAAUUGACUGGAAAUGAAUUAGAAUUUUUGAAUUAAAAUUUAAUUAUACAAGUAAUACAUGAAUACAUUUUCCUUUCAAUAAAAUUAGAGUAUUACAGAUAAAGAAGUCUCUACUGAAUACACCCUACUCCCAGCCUCCAGCAAGACCCCUCUCGCCCUGCUGAGGUAACUGCUCUUAGGUUUUUGCUGCUUAUCCAAAAUGUUUUCCAAAGCCCACUGAAGCGUGUCUUCUGUUAUCUUUUUGUGUGUUUGUUUACACAGACAUGGUGUGUACAAGCUGGAGGUGUUACUCAGCUUAGCAUGCUGUGAGACUCCUGGAAUAGCUGACACUGGGCCACAGAGCUCCUUGCCACUGGCAGCUGGUGGCCCUAGCCAGUUACACUGUGUUUGAUUUCCUAUUUCCUAUUGAUUGACUAUUAAAGCGUUUCCAGUGUCAUUCCAUUAAGACACACCUGUAAGAGCCUCUUAGGAUUGCUCAUUUUGCACAUGUACAAGUAUUUCUCUGGGAUAGAUACUUAGAAAUGGAACUGAUGGAUUGUAGGGAAUGCAUAUCUUAAAUUCUAAUAGAGAUUUCUAAAAAUGUUCUCCAUUUGCUCCUUUCUCCUGCUCAUAGUGUGUGUGUCCAUUUCCCCAGACCAUGUCCAGGUUUUCCAUUUUUAACCAGUGAAAAAUAGUAUCUUGCUUUAGUUGGUAUUUUUCUUAAUUACCUACAAGGCUGAAGUCUUCAUGUGUUUACUGUCCAUUUUUUGUCUUUUUGCUAUUGAUUUUUAAGAGUUCUUUAUGUAUUUGAAUAUUAAUACUUUGUCAUGUAUAUUGCAGAUGUUUUCUACAUUGUGAUGUGUGUCAUUUAAUUGUAUAGUACCUUUUGGCUUAGAGAAAUUUAAAUUUUGAUACAAUCAAAUUUGUCAAUCUUAAUGUUAUGCCAUUUUUGCAGUCUUAUUUAAGAAAGCCUUUCCUAUGUCAAGGUCAUAAAUAUUUCCUGUAUUUCCUUCUCAAAAAUUUAUAGUUUCUACAUACAUACAUAUUUAAGCUCUUAUACUAUAUCUAAAAAAUAAAUUCCUUAUGCACAAAUCUUAGGGUCUAACUUUAAUCCCUUCCCAUUCUCCCUAAAUGGAUAGGUAAUGCUCCCAACACCAUUUAUGGGGUAAUGUAUCAUUUCUCCACUGAUUUAAAAUUGCUGCCUCUGCCUGAUACUAAACUCCAGUGCGGGUCUAUGUGAGAUCUCUUUCUUGUCCACUGAUGCAUUUGUCUACUCCUAAGCUUGAUAAUAUGCUUUGCUAAGUGACGGGACAAAUCCCACCCUCUUUGUUGUUUUUGUAAAAUUGCCUUGGUCAUCCUUGCAUAUUUGGCCUACCACAUGAAUUUUUAAAUAGCCUGUCAAGUUUCAGGAACAAUUUUGCUAGUAUUUUAAAUUGGGAUCACAUUGAGUUUUGGAUAUCUUUGAAGAAAAUUGACACCCUUUUCAUGUCUGAAUCUUUCUACCACUGCUUAUUUCUCUGUCUCUCAGUUCUGGUCAUCUUUUAUGUCUUUCAGGGAAGUUUUAUUUAUUUAUUGUAACUGGAGGCUUUCUCUAGUUAAAAUCUUGCAUAUUUCUUGAUAAAUUUCUUCCUAGGUUUAUUACAGGUUUUGUUGGCAACUGUGAAUAGGAUCUCCUCUCCCCUUGUUUGUUUGGCCCUUGUUUUUCCAUAUUUCAUUUCAACCUGUUUACUAAUCAGUGGGCUUGACUUGCAGGCACACAUGCAAAGUGAACAUUCUUCCUCCUUGGGCACAAACAUGCAAGCACAACCAAACUUGCAGAGCCGGCAUAAUUGGCUGAAAAUAAAUUAAAUCUCUCCAGAUUAGACUUUAAUUAAAGAAGUAAAGCAUGAAUACAUUUCCCAUUUAAAAGUAGAACAAUAUGAAUGUAAUUAACGUUUCCUUUGGUCACUUGAGAUCCUGGUCCCUUCCACCUCCACAGAGGUGACCACUGUUCAGAGUUUUAUGUUUUGCCUUCCAUAGUAAAUAUAUAGAUAGUAUUGAUGGAGGUAUUUUCAAUAAAUUAUACCAAGUCAUAGGUCUUAUACUGUAUCCUGCAUUUUUCCUUUAAUCUUAUAUUUGGGGGGAGUUCCCCAGGUUAGUGAUAUAGCAGCUCCUGUUCCUGCUUUUUAACAGCUGUCUGCUUAGUAUAGUACUCUUGCUCACAACUGUACUGUUUCCCCUUCUCUGACAUCCAUAGACCGGGGGGUUCCUCCUCUCUGCCCACUAUAAUGACGAAUACUGCCAGGAACACCUUGGCACCUGCCAGCUCCUGAAAUGUUUCUCUAGGGUAGUAUCUGAGAGUAGAACUCUAGCCUCUAUGGUGGCCACUGUUUCAGUUUUCAUAGACACAGCCCAGGUCAGCUUCGAAAGCUGCUGUGCCAAUUUAAGAUCCUUCCACAAGUAAAUGUCAAUCUCCCUUGUUUCAGACCAUUGACAGCUUGUAAGGCUUAUGGAUCUGAUGGAUGAUAAAAAGUGGUUUCUUCUUGGUUUCAUUUGUGUUUUCCUGGCCACACCAUGGCCUCCUCCCAGGUCUCCUGGCCAUUCUUAUUUCCUCCCUUUGGGGUCAUCUGUGCAUCUCCUCUGUCCAUCUUUCUUCUGUGUUGUUCUUUUCUUCCUGACUUAAAGGAUCUCUUAAUUUUGUAUAUUAAUUCCUUGUCUACUCUAUGCGUUGCACAUAAUUCUCUACCAUCGUGACCCUUGUCAUUUUAACUGUAUUGUAUCUUUCAUCAUAGAACUUUUCAUUUCUAUGUCAAAUUUAGAAUCUCAUCUUGCCUUAAGAAGGCCCUCUCUAUACUAAGAUCACAACCAUUUUCCUGUGUUUUUCCUAAAGCUUUUGUAAAUUUCCUUCUUGCAUAUAUGUUUUAUUAUUUUCACAUUUAAGUCUUUAUUGAAUAUGAAGCUAAUUUUAAGUGUGAUAUCAGUGCUUAAUUUUUUUAAAUGUCAAAAUUGAUAACCAAUUUUUUCAAUACCAUUUAUUGGAUAACGUGUCAUUUCUUCAGUAAUUUAAAAUUGCUGCCUCUACCUGACACUAAAGUCCAGUGUGGCUUUAGGUCAGAGCUCUUUCUGGUCCACUGAUCUAUUUGUCUAUUCCUGAGCUUGAUAAAAUGCUUUGCUAAGUGGUGGGACAAAUCCCACCUUCUUUGUUGUUUUUGUAAAAUUGCCUUGGUCAUCCUUGCAUAUUUGGCCCACCACAUGAAUUUUUAAAUAGCCUGUCAAGUUUCAGGAACAAUUUUGCUAGUUUUUUUAAUUGGGAUCACAUUGUGUUUUGGAUAAGUUUGAAGAAAAUUGACACCUUUAUCAUAUUUGAGCCUUCCCCUCGAUGCUCACUGCUGUAUCUCUCAAUUCCAGUCAUCGUCUAUGUCUUUCAGGCAAGUUUUAUGGUUUUCUCUAGUUAAAGACCUACGUAUCUCUUGAUAAAUUUAUUCCUGGGUUUAUGAAAGACUUUGUUGUCAACUGUGAAUAGGAUUUCCUGUUCUCUUGUUUGUUUGGCCCUUGUUUUUCCAUAUUUCAUUUCAGCCUGUUUACUAAUCAGUGGGCUUGACUUGCAGACACACACGCAAAGUGAAUGUUCUUCCUCCUGGGCACAAACCUGCGAGCACAACCAAACACACAGAGCUGGCAUAAUUGGCUGAAAACAAAUUAAAGUCUUUUCUGAUAAUACUUUAAUUAAGGAAGUGAAGCAUGAAUACAUUUUCCUUUUAAAAGUAGAACAAUAUGAAUGUAACUAAAAUUUCCUUCGGCCACCCUCCGAAGUCCUGGUUCCCCUGCCUUCCUCACAGUUUUAUGUAUCUCCUUCCAUAUAAAUGUAGAGUAUUGAUGGAGGUAUUUUGAAUGAAUCAUCCCACUUUAUAGAGAUUUUACUGUAAGCUGCAUUUUCCCGCCACCAUAUAUUUCUAGGAUAUACUCAUAUUGAUACAAAUAGCCCUUGCCAGUUCCUUUUAGUAGCUAUGUUAUAUUCAUUCCCAUGAAUGGGCCAGGUCUUUCCUUCCUUAAGAUCUGUGUACAUCUAGUUCUAUCUUUUCUUUCCUCCUUCAUAAGCAAUGCCACUGAAAACAGCCUCACACUUGCCUCUUCUGUAAUGUUUCUCUAGGGUAGUGGUUGAGAAAUGGCAUUUUGCUUCUCAAGGUUCCCACAUUUUUAGUUUCAGAUAUUACCAAAGUGUCCUUCAUAAUCUCUGUACCAUUUACACUUCUGGCCAGAGGGUAUGAGAGGAUUCCAAUCCCCACACCAUAAGUAGUUGUUUUAAAUAUUUGCCAAUUUGAUGGGUGAAAUUGAAUCAUUUUUUAAAGUUUAUACAUACUUGUUUGCUAGUGAGAUUUUCAGAUGUGUAUUAGACAUUUGUAUUUUCUAUUUUCUGAAUAAUCUAUUUUUGCUCAUUUAAAAAAAAUUAGGUUGUUUGUCUUUAUCUUACUGAUUUUAUGAGUCUCCUGAUAUAAUCUGUUAAUCUUUUGUGUGUAUGUGUAUGUGUGUGGGCAGUUAUUUAUUUCCAGCUUGUCUGUUGCCUUCAGAUUUUUUUAGGAACUUUUGUUAGAAGUUAUCGAUUUUGACAUAACCAAAUUUAUUAUUUUUUUUCCUUUAUUCCUUUUAUUUAUAGGUCAUGUUUAGGCCUUUCUUACUCCUAAGGUUUAAAUAUAUUCUGCAUUCCUUUCUAGUAAUUUUGUUUUUCUGUGGGUCUUUAGUGCAGCUGGAAUGUAUGUUUAUGAUUGAAAUGAGAUAUGAUCUAACCUUUCUCCAAAUGUACAGCUGAUUAUUACAACAUGAUGGAUUGACUAGUUCAUUCUCUCCACUGAGCUGAGAUGAAACUCCCUCACACACUGAAUCGCCAUGUCUAGGUGCUGUUGGGUGAAAACAUGAUGCUUGGAGCUCUGACAGCCAUCUUGUGACCAGGAGGGGAAGGCCAGGAGAUGCAACUCUGUGCUGACUCCAGCUUGAACACCUGGCACCACUGACUUCUGGACUUUCUUUGAAAUAAAUAAAAUGUUCUUAUUGUUUAA
Bubalus bubalis (water buffalo) is the source of this 10648-nucleotide long non-coding RNA. RefSeq lists it as uncharacterized. The transcript is spliced from 2 exons. Lineage: Eukaryota; Metazoa; Chordata; Mammalia; Artiodactyla; Bovidae. The record is from RefSeq and is a predicted model, not a curated record.